Molecule: transfer RNA, 64 nt
Filed under: Mycopsylla gardenensis
Lineage: Eukaryota; Metazoa; Arthropoda; Insecta; Hemiptera; Carsidaridae
Description: tRNA-Gly
Source: RNAcentral
AUUUUCUUAUUAGUAUAAAAAUUACAUUUAGUUUCCACCUAAAAAAUCUUUUCAAGAUAAGAAA